ACCCGCGGUAAUUCCAGCUCCAAUAGUGUAUAUUAAAGUUGUUGCAGUUAAAAAGCUCGUAGUUGGAUUUCUGGGAGGGUGCCGAUGUCCACUUAACGUGUGCGCAGCGGCGCCCUCUCAUCCUUCUGUUAGCGUCUCUUGGCAUUCAUUUGCUGGUGGCGGGCUCAGAUAUUUUACCUUGAGAAAAUUAGAGUGUUUCAGGCAGGCUAGGCCGGAAUACAUUAGCAUGGAAUAAUGGAAUAGGACUACGGUCUCUAUGUUGGUUUGAGGGACUGCAGUAAUGAUUAAUAGGGAUAGUUGGGGGCAUUAGUACUUAACUGUCAGAGGUGGAUUUCUCAGAUUUGUUAAAGACUGACUUAUGCGAAAGCAUUUGUCAAGGAUGUUUUCAUUGAUCAAGAACGAAAGU
Molecule: ribosomal RNA, 406 nt
Filed under: uncultured eukaryote
Lineage: Eukaryota
Description: SSU rRNA
Rfam family: Eukaryotic small subunit ribosomal RNA
Source: RNAcentral